RNAcentral lists this long non-coding RNA (4076 nucleotides) under Olea europaea subsp. europaea. The record is from RNAcentral. Lineage: Eukaryota; Viridiplantae; Streptophyta; Magnoliopsida; Lamiales; Oleaceae.
GUUUUCUUAAGUUGAGAUUUGAAAAUCUAUAAUCUAUUUAUAGAUUUUUAACAUCAUACCUCGAAAAAGCUCUAAACACUCAUGAAAAGCUAGAAACUUUCCACCAAAAGGCACUAAAAAAAUUCAAAUGAAAAAUCAACUCAACGGCUAAGUUUUUUGAACCAUGCGUACGCAUGGUAGAAGCAAAAAUGCUUCUGUUUUCUUCAAACAAGGUCGUGCGUACGUAUGGCCAUUUAGCCUAUCCCUAUUCAUGGUUAAGCAGAAACCACCCGAUUUUGCCUUCCAAUUUUCAUCAUUAAUUCGUUUACAUUCUCAAUCUAAAUUUUGAAAAACAAAUAAUUAUAUAAAAAACUUCAUGGCUGCUUCUAGUUCCUAGAAGGUUUGCAUUGGAAAUAAUACUGUGAUUGAGAAUAUCACUCCUCAAUCAAAGUCUUCCACCCCAUGUAAAUCACAGUCACGUAAUUGAAGGAGCCAGUUUUGCAUAAUUUCCAUUUUGUUGUACAAUUAUUGAUUUGCAUUCCAUUUAUACUAUUUGUAAACAUAUGUAGAUAAAGCAAUACAAUUUACCACUAAAGUAAGGUGAAUUUUUAAUUAUUCUUAUGGUAUCAGAGCAGAAAUUGGUUUAGCACACCACCACUGAUCCUCCUCCUCUUCUUCUUUUCAUGGCUGUUGAGACAUCUUCCUUUCUUCCCUUCAAUACCUUAAUCCACAUAAUCACCAUCAAACUUUCCUCCUCAAAUUAUCUCCUCUGGAAAAGCCAACUCCUUUCUCUUCUUGAGAGUCAAGAAUUAUUAGGGCAUGUUGAUAACAUCCUUGUACAGCCCCCAAAACUUGACACUGCCACUUCUCUCAUGCCAAGUGACAAAUAGUUGGCAUGGAAAGCUACUAAUCAGCGCCUACUCAGUUUAUUACUUUCCUCCCUCACCAAAGAAGCCAUGGCUGAGGUAGUUGGCCUCUCUACCGCACGAGACGUAUGGCUCGCACGAGAGAACACAUUUAGCCAUCGCUCUAAGGCUCGAGAAUUACGGCUUAAGGAUGACGUGCAAUUAAUGAAACGCUGCACCAGAUCGGUUGUUGAGUAUGCCCGUUCUUUCAAAGCAAUCUGUAACCAACUACAUGCAAUUGGUUAUCCAGUUGAUGGCACUAACAAAGUCCACUGGUUUCUACGCGGGCUCGGUGCUGAUUUCUCUAGUUUAUCCGCAACGCAAAUGGCCCAAACUCCUCUCCCCUCAUUGCAGAUUUAGUCUCCAAAAUAAUACUGUGAUUGAGAAUAUCACUCCUCAAUCAAAGUCUUCCACAGCAUGUAAAUGACAGUCACGUAAUUGAAGGAGCCAGUUUUGCAUAAUUUCCAUUUUGUUGUACAGUUAUUGAUUUGCAUUUCAUUUAUACUAUUUGUAAACAUCUAUAUAAAAAGCAAUACAAUUUACGUGGAUUUUUAUUUAUUCUUGGUUUGCAGAUAACAGAAAUGAAAGAUUUCUUCCAUUCUAACACAUUUGCAGAAAAUGCUCUUGAAAAUCUGGAGUGCACUUGAGCCUAGUCGUUAAUGCAAUCAACUUGUAAUUUGUUUUCAAAUCCCCCCGUUUGGCUCCCAUUCUCCUUCUCAUUCUUUUUCUCUCCCUUAUUUUCAACCACACAAUCUUCCAUAAAAUAACAUUACACGCAAAGCAAAAACUUUUCAUUAUUUUUCAACCAUACAUUUUUCAAAAAAUCACUAUUCCAACCAAUAAAAUUUGGAUAGAAUGGAGGCCAAACAGGGGCAUAGUGGGAACCAGUUUUAAUAUAUAGCUUCAAUAAGUUCGAUGAUUGAAUGUAAACUUGAGAUCGAUCCGAAUUUAUGGUUCUUUCAUUAGUGGCAUGUUAUUCUAUUCAAUCAUGUUAACAUUGACAAGAGUUGGUAUAUGGCAUCAACUUAGUGUGGUAGUUCUUGUUUUGUAUUGUUAUGAUUGUUGAACUAUCGUUCCUGCCAAAUGAAAUAUUGAGUGUCAAGAUUAACAUGUAUUAAAUGUCAAGAACUACACAUAAAAACUUUUAUGAAUUGUAGAGAAUUCUCAUGUUUGAAACGAAAUAUCAUGCUAGAAAAAUGAAGUGUCAAGUGUCUAAAUAAACAAGAUUCAAAUGUCAAUAACAACUUUUAAUAUAUCGAGAACGUCAUGAAAUGUCAAGAAUAACAACUAUUAAACACAACUUAUCAACAAAAACAAGAUUUAAAAAAAAAAAAAAAAAACCUUCUAGCAAGAAUUUUUGAGAGAUUAAUCAACUUGGAAAUUGGGAUGGCAUUAAAUUUUUUGGAAUGAAAUUAUAUGAUUUUCUCAUGAAUUGGAAAGCAUAUAGUUAUUUUUUAGUUUUAAUGACUUUUUUACUUUAUCUUCUUCAUUUUUUUUUCCCCCACAAAAUCAUUACCUAAUAAAUAAUGAAAGUAAAUGAAUCCAUUAGAUAUUAACUGACAUUAAUAUAGCUUUUCAUGGAAGCUACUUGCUCUUCUCAAAAUUCAUAAAAAAAAAAAUUUAAAAAAAUUUAAAAAAAAAUGAUUCACUUUUCAUAAGGGUAUAAUAGAUAAUUUGGUACCAAAUUUAAUAAUUUUUGCAAGAAUUAUCAAAAUUACACACUUUCAAUUGACAAGCAUGAAAUUGGACAAUUUUUGUAAAUUUGAAUUUGAAUUUGAAUUUAUAAAGAUUGAUGGGCAUUUUAUCUAAGGGUGAAUGUAAUUCAGUUUAGACAUUGUGUGCUAUAUUUUCAACUCAGACCACUUCAUGUCUUUUGAAAUUUUUUCAAAUCAAAUCAAAUCAUUUCAUUUUUCAAACCAAAGCAUACCAAAUCUUAAUUUGUGGUUUAGUUUAGUUUUAAUCCACAGUUAACCUAUCGACGUUAUAAUAAUAUAUUUAAAACUAUCAAUAUAUAAGUUUAAAGAACUUAUAAUGUUAAAUGUUAAAAUAUAUUCAUAUUUACUAUGAAACUCAUGAAUAAAUUACUUUCAAAAUUGGUUGCUCUUAUAUGUAAAUAGAACAAAUAUAUAUUUCCUCAUUUUUAUUUACUUUUCUAGUUUAACUUCCAUAUUGUCACGCAGUGGUUGAUAAAGGUAGAGGCACAUUCUGCUAUUAUAAUUUAGUUAAAACUCCUUUCGUCCUGUUAGUGAGAUGGUAAAUAAGAAUUGAAUAUGAUAUAUUUAGAUAUACAAAAACAGCAAUCUCAUCUGCAACCUAAAAAAUGUUGCCUCUAGUGGUGUAAUUAAAACUCAAAUUCAUGUAUUCUUCAAUGAAAUUAAAACCAAACAUAAAUUGAAAUUCAAAUGUUAUUGAAAAUGCAAUAACAGAUCCAAAAAUACCAUAAUCAAUUCAGGAGCUAUGUGUUGUAGCUCCACUCACUUGAGAUCCAAUCUCUCAGUCCAAGUGUUGGAAAUUUAAAUAAUUGCUUCAUCCUCAUCAAUUAAAUAAUCAGAAAUUGAAUUCUAAGAUUUAAAAAAAAAAAAUUGAUAUAAAUGAUAAAUAUUUAAUUAAAAUUGUUCUGAAAAGAUGCAUACGAAUUGGGGGAAAAUAGAUUACUCAGUGGCAAUUUUAAGUUUUAGGUUCGAUUCUGCCAGCAAAGCGUCCUCAAAUUUUAAUUCAGAAGAGGGAGCUUUUUUAUCCUCAUCGUAAAUUUAUUUUCCUCACACGCCAAUUUCAAAUGUAAAUCAAAAUACGAAUUUAUCAAAAAAAUUACUCGAAAAAAGAAACAAUAUUAAAUCUAAAUAGAUAGAAAAAGAUGCAUAUAAUUUUCCGUUCAAAAUGCAAAUUAAAAAAUAUAUAUACAAAAAAUUACAAAAUAAAAAACAACCAUAUAGAUAACGAUGCAUAUACACUUAUAUAGGUAUAUAUAUAUUGAGAAAAAGAUAUAGGGAGAAGAACGCUCGGUUCAGCGGGUUAAUCGACAUGCAAGUAAUUAUCUGACCUGCAAUCCGGUCUGUUGAGCUUGAAAUUUAGAAGUCGUCACUGCGAUUCUCCCUUCAAAUUGAUAAUAAAAAAAAAAAAAAAACAAAUGAAACUAUAAAGUUGAAGGAGAAAAGAAAACGAAUAUACCAUCCAAAGAAACACUGCGUGAAU